Acanthochromis polyacanthus (spiny chromis) is the source of this 4324-nucleotide RNA transcript. It is a transcript of the gene named ATR interacting protein, with no coding region annotated. The transcript is spliced from 20 exons. Lineage: Eukaryota; Metazoa; Chordata; Actinopteri; Pomacentridae. The record is from RefSeq and is a predicted model, not a curated record.
UCGAGCGGCGCUGCGAUUGGUCAGAUUGGCAGCAGUCCCGGAGCGGGUUGAGCGAUUCUCUUUGGUCUCAAAAGCUUGAAGUUCGUUUAGUUUGUCCACUUUUUCGCAAUUUAACGGCUUAUUUAUCUGGGUAAUUUAGAGCAGGGACAUCAGGUGAAGAAGCGCUGUUAUCUCAAACCUCUAACGUCAUUUUUAAUCAACUGUUGCAGGAUAUUUAUCUACUGUUGUGAAGGUGGGAGCCUCGUUAGCUUAGCAGGCUAACUCUCCAUUGGAAUCACAGCUAGUUAGCGCUAGCUUAGCUGACAGCCACCAGGAGCGACUGCAACAGCACAGAGAGGCCAGCAUGAACUGUCCCCCCAUGAAGCGCCUCCGAGGCCCGAACCAGGAUGGGGUGACAGCAGUGGCUUUUGAUGACCCUUUUGGAGAUGACGACAUCUUCACUCAGGAUGUCUUGGAUGAAAUCGACAUCAUUGCCUCGCAGGCCGUCACCUCAGCUGCUCCAGGGGCGCAGAUGGCGUCUAAAUCCAGUACCAAACCGACGGAGGCAGCCCGCGGGUCGACCCGGACGUUUUCUGCAGUGCAGAGCAAACCUCUGAGCAGAACCACAGCCAAUCAGAGCAGAGAGAACUCAGUUGAGUUCAACAGAUUGAACGCCGGGAUACCAAGCAGGGAGCCUCUGGGCAACAGACAGCAGCAGUCUGGGUCAGACAGAGAAGACUCCUACAGUCUGCUGCAGGCUCAGCAUGCAGAGCUGAAGAGGAAGCUGAAGGAGGUGGAGGAGGAGAUUUUCCUCAAGAACGGAGAGAUCCAGGUCCUGAGAGACUCUUUGAAAGCAGCUCAGCAGGAGAAGGAGGCUCAGAGACAGAACCAGAUGCUGCUGGACACUCAGAAGCUGAAGGAACACAGCGACAGGGAGAAGGAGCUCAACAGGAAGGUUCAAUCUCUGCAGUCUGAGCUGCAGUUUAAAGAAGCAGAGAUUAACGAAAUGAAGACCAAACUGCACAGUUCAGAGAGAAACAAAGCAACGUCCUCACCACUUCCCAGAAACAGCCCUAAAGUACCGAUGAAUCCUGGGAGCAGCUCGCCUUCUCCGACAGGAAACGGUUUCAUCACCAAGGAAAUGUUUGGGGCUCAAAUAUCGUCCAGAACCACACCGUUGAAGACACGGAGACAUGCAGACAGAACCACGUCCAGCAGCAGAUCUGCUGACAGACCAGAAGUGUCUCGUCCAGACCACUUUAUGUCCGUCAUACCUGCUCAUCGACAGCACAGAGGUGGCGUCCUGCUGGGGUUGUUACUGCAGCAGCCUUUAUCUCCCAGCAGCCUCGGCCUCUCUCACCUGCUGUCAGUGACUGAAGCCCACCUGACAUCCAGUCGGCUGUCUGCAGGUUUUCUGCUCGACUCUGGAGCUGCCGUCGGUGUGGGAGUCUCUCCCACCGUGACUCUGACUCCGGUCCAGAGUCUGGCUGUAACUGGACUCAACAUGCUGAGUCAGAACCAAGCAUCAGCUGCAGCCGACAGCAGAAACAGGUGUCCUGGAGCCGUCCUCCUCCUCCCUCUGCUGGACCUCCACCUCUCUCGGCUCUGUCAGGUUCUGGACUCUCUCGGCUCCACCGGCAGCAGCAGCCGGUCGGACUUUGCAGCCUCCAGCUCAGUCCCAGCAGGCCGAGCUGCUCCUGCCGGUCCUGGGAGGCCUGAGGACUCUGGUUUUUCUGGUUUUAGUGUGGAGGAUGCUGGUCUGGCUGCUCUGAGGCUCCUCUAUCUCCUGCUGGCUCACAGCGAUGAGGUGGUGGAAGCCGUGCUGUCAAAGGAGAACCAGAACAGAGUUACAGACGACGAGACCGAACGCCCCGCUGCGACUCUCUGCUCCCAGAAUGCUUUGCUCCAGUCGCUGCUGCGGUUGUGUGACGUGGGAUUCGGUGUCGGCGGCUCACAGAGGCAGCAGCUCAACAUCGGUGCCAUGAAGACGCUGUGUGUCCUGAUGGAGAGGACGCCACGCACACACAGCGACAGGUUGGGGUCUGUGCUGCAGGUGAUUUAUACGAGUGUUUCAGCAGACAGCCGACUACAGACAGUUUCAGAGUGUUUGUCCGUCCUCACGUCGAUGUGUGACCAUCAGACGUUGGCAGAGCAGCUCUGCUCUCAGCACGAUCCUUGUGUUUUCCUGAAAUUAUUCCAGUUUAUCAGAAGCAGACCAGACAACCAGGCAGCACACACAGACUGGAUCUUACUGGACCUGAAGGUGGUUCGUUUGUUGAGCAGAUUGUUGACUCAGGGAGCUCAGAGUCUGAAGAGCAGCUGUCAGUGUUAUACUGAGCUGGUUCAGACGGUGGUGAUCGCCUUCCAUCGUCAGUGGUUGGAUCUUCGUGGUUCUCAGGAGCUGACGGACUCAACAGAUGUGGCUCCGCCCCUGCAGCGGUGGUGGUCCGGCCCAGCGGCGGCGCUGCUCAGAGAGUGUCUGCUGCUGCUGCACUGGCUGCUGCUACACCACGGCAGCUUCUCAGAGAGCUGCAGACCGCUGCUGCACAUGUAUGACCAGGUGAUCCCUGCAGUCCGAGACACGCUGAGGAAGAUCCCCGGGCUGAGCGAGAGCGAAGAGCUGGCGUUGGAGGAAAUCUGCCGCUCGGAGGGCGACGACGCCGACGACAUGGAUACCGGCUCCUGAUUGGCCGACUCCACAGAUGGACGUUAAGACGGACUUUAAUCCUGCAGGAAUCUUCUCCUGCUGCUGCUGCUGCUCAUUGAACCAGGUCAGCUUCAUUAUGCAGACUUCCUGUGUGACCUCUGACCUCUGGAUCUGAUUGGACGGACUCCAGGGCAGCAGAAUGAAAGGCGAUGUUCAGCCUCAGUAAUCCCCCACCGCACACGCUCAGAGGUCACCAGGGAUGAUGCAAAACUGAGAUAAGAAGACACUUAAAUACUGUAUGUGUGCGUGCGUGUGUGUGUGUGUGUGUGUGUGUGUGUGUGUGUGUGCACACAUCCCUAUAAACACACACAUGCUGAGGCUGGCCUGGGAUUGUCUCUGUGAUGAAACCAGCAGUAAUGUCUGCUGUUGGCAUGACGACUCCAUCCUCUGUGACAUGUGUGUGUGUGUGUGUGUGUGUGUGUGUGUGUGUGUUUCACAGAGUGUGUGUGACCUUUGACCUCCCAUGUGUGUGUCUGCAGUUAAAAAAAGCAUGUUGCGAAGGUUCAAAUCUCAAAAUUUUACGAUAAUGAAAUGAGCAGCAAACUUUCUGUUACUCAAUUCACAGCUCAGUACAGUGACUAGAUAAAACUUUAGCAGUGUUAGUACAAAAUAAUAGAUUACCGUUAAAGCUGCAAUGAUUUGUUCAUUAAUUAUGAAGUAUUUUGAUAGUUUAUUAACUGUUUUCACUCAUUUUUAACCAUCCAGCAAAUUAAAAAGGCACAUUAUCUUUUAUAAAAUUGCCAAAAUUAAGAUUACUGCUGACUUUCAACACACUAAAUUGCUUUAUUCUUCCUUAAAAUUGUUUUAUACAGUAGUGCACCAAAGCAGAAUAUCAAACACCUCGUAUGUGAAACAGUAAAACUGAUUCUGAUUCAAUAAAACAGGAAGAAUUGUUGGGUUUUCAGCUUUCCGGUGGUCCUUGAACGUCUCAUGUCCAACAUACACCUGCAUCAGGGCAACAUUUGAGCUUUAAAUCCUGAUAAAUGUUUUCUUUUACCUGAUCAGACAAACUGAAAUCAUGCUUUAAUUUAAGAUGAAAUCAUCUUUUAUUUUAAAUUGAACAUUCUUUUUUUAAAUGAAAAUGAUGAUUAUUUGUAUUUAUUUUAUAUAUUUAAGAUAGGGCUGCACAGUGUCGUAGUGGUUAGCACUUUCGCCUUGCAGCAAGAAGAUCUCGCCCUGGGCCUGGGAUCUUUCUGCAUGGAGUUUGCAUGUUCUCCCUGUGAAUGUGUGGGUUUUCUCUGGGCACUCCGGCUUCCUCCCACAGUCCAAAAAUAUGCCGAGGUUAAUUGAUUACUCUAAAUUGUCCGUAGGUGUGAAUGUGAGUGUGAUUGUUUGUCUGUAUAUGUAGCCCUGAGACAGACUGGUGACCUGUCCAGGGUGUCUCCUGCCUUCGUCUGAGUCAGCUGGGAUAGACUCCAACACCGCCCGCAACCCUAGUGAGGAUAAAAUGGUGUAUAGAGAAUGGAUGGAUAUUUAAGAUAUCAUUUAUUAUUUACAGUUAGAAGCUUUAGUGUUGCUUUACACAAAUCAUGUAAAUUCAGUUUAUUUGUCGAAACUUUAUAAUGCUUUUGUGUACUUCAGAAAUACGGAUAUAUAAUAUAUUAAACAUGCAACAAAAAUGGAAAAAAUAGCAGUUUU